CUUAGAAUCAAAAUCUUAUUUUUUAAAAUAAUGUGCAACCAUGUUUUGAUCGGUUCACAUCUUUCAAAUAAAAUUACAGUUUUAAAUAAAACACGAAUCAAAGCUUGUGGUCCCAAAUAAAUGGGAUAAUUCUAAGCUAAAUUCGUGUAUAUCGAUUGGGGAAUUGGUGAAACCCCUACAUAAGAAAAUCUUUUCAAAAUUUAUUUUUG
This 209-nucleotide long non-coding RNA is filed under the name Vitis vinifera (wine grape). RNAcentral describes it as "long non-coding RNA (VVIN_LNC000809)". Lineage: Eukaryota; Viridiplantae; Streptophyta; Magnoliopsida; Vitales; Vitaceae. The record is from RNAcentral.